AUGCUUACCUAGCAGGGGAGAUACCAUGAUCAUGAAGGUGGUUUUCCCAGGGUGAAGCUUAUUCACUCUGGAUAUAUUGACCUCUGUGAUUUUCCCAAAUGUAGGAAAUUCAUUGCAUAAUUUGUGGUAGUGGGGGACUGUGUUCAUGAUCUCCCU
This is a small nuclear RNA of Sorex araneus (European shrew), 156 nucleotides long. Its record names the gene U1. It matches the Rfam family "U1 spliceosomal RNA". From Rfam's summary of the family: U1 is a small nuclear RNA (snRNA) component of the spliceosome (involved in pre-mRNA splicing). The record is from Ensembl. NCBI's taxonomy places the organism in Eukaryota, Metazoa, Chordata, Mammalia, Eulipotyphla, Soricidae.